RNAcentral lists this ribosomal RNA (417 nucleotides) under uncultured crenarchaeote. RNAcentral's name for it is "partial 16S ribosomal RNA". It matches the Rfam family "Archaeal small subunit ribosomal RNA", at positions 328 to 747 of the family's 1478-position model. The record is from RNAcentral. Lineage: Archaea; Thermoproteati; Thermoproteota.
GCGCACCCCAGGCGCGAAAACUCCGCAAUACGCGAGAGCGUGACGGGGCCAUCCCGAGUGCUGUCCGCUGAGGACGGCUUUUCCCCAGUGUAGAUAGCUGGGGGAAUAAGGUGAGGGCAAGUCUGGUGUCAGCCGCCGCGGUAAUACCAGCUCUCCGAGUGGUGGGGAUGUUUAUUGGGCCUAAAGCAUCCGUAGCUGGCUGGGCAAGUCCUCCGUUAAAUCCAACGAUUUAAUCGUUGGCCUGCGGAGGAUACUGUCCGGCUUGGAGGCGAGAGAGGCCAACGGUAUUCUCGGGGUAGGGGUGAAAUCCUAUAAUCCCGGGAAGACCACCAGUGGCGAAGGCUGUCGGCUAGAACGCGCUCGACGGUGAGGGAUGAAAGCUGGGGGAGCGAACCGGAUUAGAUACCCGUGUAGUCC